UCCUUGGAAAGAACUGCCCAAGUGUGCUG
This 29-nucleotide non-coding RNA is filed under the name Mus musculus (house mouse). The record is from RNAcentral. Lineage: Eukaryota; Metazoa; Chordata; Mammalia; Rodentia; Muridae.